CGAAUCUUCCGCAAUGCGCGAAAGCGUGACGGAGCAAUGCCGCGUGCGGGAUGAAGCGGCUCCGCCGUGUAAACCGCUGUCAGGGGUCAGAAACACUGCUCAGCCCCAACGGAAGGGCCGGCUAACCUCGUGCCAGCAGCCGCGGUAAUACGAGGGGCCCGAGCGUUAAUCGGAAUCACUGGGCUUAAAGGGUGCGUAGGCGGAUGCGCAAGCGUCUUGUGAAAUACCUCAGCUCAACUGAGGAAUUGCAGGGCGAACUGCGUGUCUUGAGACAGGUAUGGGCCGUCGGAACGUUCGGUGGAGCGGUGAAAUGCAUAGAUAUCGAACGGAACGCCGAAGGAGAAGUCGGGCGGCUGGGCCUGUUCUGACGCUGAGGCACGAAAGCGUGGGGAGCGAAC
This 398-nucleotide ribosomal RNA is filed under the name uncultured bacterium. RNAcentral's name for it is "bacterial SSU rRNA". It matches the Rfam family "Bacterial small subunit ribosomal RNA", at positions 358 to 773 of the family's 1533-position model. The record is from RNAcentral.